AUGGCGAGAUCUGGCGGCAAGCGAGGCGUGAUGGAGCACCACUGCCUGAACCGAUUCCGCCGCCGGCGACUCCUCGCCUUCCUCCGCCGCAACAGCCUUCCCGCCACCUUCGACGCGCUGAAGCACGAGACGAGCGUCUUCUUGGACGUGCGGUUCCUGCGGCGCCUGGUGGCGGGCGGCCGGUGGCAGGAGGCGCGAGAGUACUUGAGCCGCUUCCUGCCGUGCCAGGACGAGGUCGACGCGCCCACCGCGCUCAGAUUCCUCACUCGCCUCAACGUUCUCGACGACCUCGCCCAGGGCAAGCUGGAGGGCAUCGAUUUGGCCCAAGAUCUCCGGAACCAAAUCGACGUUAUCCCUUCCACCAUUUUCCGCGAGGACCCGCACUACGCCGCGGCUCUCCGCACAGUCUUGUUCUGGCGCUCUCACCCGACAUACUGGGGUCCCGUGGACUGGCAGCUCAUUAGGCGCAAAGCCGCGCAGGUUGUCAAGGACUUGGUCGCACGAACCCCUGAGUUCAGGCAUCUGCUGCGGUUGCCGCCGUGUCCAAGCCACCCAUGUUACACCAUCCCCUUCGGGUUUGGGGGUUGCCGGAGGCAUAAGAGGAAGAAGAACAUAGGCCGGAUGUCGGCAUCUCUUCUUGCCCGCCGUUUUCUUCAGAAAGAGAGGCGUCAUUCCUCACCAUGGACUCAAGGUUCAUCGUGUGAACCUAUGGGUUUCGAGGAAAUUAUUGAUGAAACUAUGUUAGCUGGGAAGCUGGAGGUCAUAGAACAUUCAGAUUCUUGUAGUGAAGGCGAUCCUGGUUCUCCUGUUGGGUUAUCUAUAGGUAAAAGUUUUGGAACUGCACCUGCUAAUGCAGUCACAAAGCGUUUGAGUCAAGAAUGUUCCGCUGAAAGUUCCAAUGGUGCAAAACUAAAACCUACAACUGGGCAGUUUUGUCCGGAUGUCGUCGAUGCACGUUCUGGUUGGACGGUGGACGCCAAUCAUGUUUUAAAUAAAAUAGAAACCCUCGGAGACAUUUCAACUGCCAUGGCCAUGCUAGUGAACAAGACAUGCACAUAUGGUGGUCCAGAUCACACGAUGUUCCUGGAGAAAACAUUUGAGCACGAGAAGAUGAUAUUCGAACUGCGAUUAGAUUGCCAAAAGGCAAAAACUAAGAGGUUGAACUUAUCCAUUGGCAACUUGAGCACCCGACAGAACUAG
Molecule: ribosomal RNA, 1200 nt
Filed under: Triticum aestivum (bread wheat)
Lineage: Eukaryota; Viridiplantae; Streptophyta; Magnoliopsida; Poales; Poaceae
Description: partial small subunit ribosomal RNA
Source: RNAcentral